This 400-nucleotide ribosomal RNA is filed under the name uncultured bacterium. Its description in RNAcentral is "bacterial SSU rRNA". It matches the Rfam family "Bacterial small subunit ribosomal RNA", at positions 356 to 773 of the family's 1533-position model. The record is from RNAcentral.
GGGGAAUAUUGCACAAUGGGGGAAACCCUGAUGCAGCGACGCCGCGUGAGUGAAGAAGUAUUUCGGUACGUAAAGCUCUAUCAGCAGGGAAGAAAAUGACGGUACCUGACUAAGAAGCCCCGGCUAACUACGUGCCAGCAGCCGCGGUAAUACGUAGGGGGAAAGCGUUAUCCGGAUUUACUGGGUGUAAAGGGAGCGUAGGUGGCAAGUCAAGUCAGAUGUGAAAGCCCGGGGCUCAACUCCGGGAUUGCAUUUGAAACUGGUUUGCUAGAGUGCAGGAGAGGUAAGUGGAAUUCCUAGUGUAGCGGUGAAAUGCGUAGAUAUUAGGAGGAACACCAGUGGCGAAGGCGACUCUCUGGACCGUAACUGACGCUGAGGCAUGAAAGCGUGGGGAGCAAAC